ACUGCAGAGCUAGCGCUUCAGAUGGGUAUUGCUCAUUGUCAAAAUAAACACCUUUCUCUUCUAAGCAGUAAGAGCCAAACACUGCCUGUUCAGGGGCAAUCAGAUGUGGUGAUCUUAGCAGGAAUGCAUCUGUGUGAGAAUCAGAAAGGAGCAAACAAAAACCUUCCCCCUGAGGAUGAAUUGAGCAGGAGGAAAAGGUUAGACUUGGCUCCCCCACAAAGGACUGCAUUUUGCUCACUCGGGGUGCUUGUUACCAGCAUUGCUCUCACAUCAGUAGUUCCCAGUAAUGCAGGCAAGUCACAUGUGUAUGGGAAUGUGCAGGCUUGUAUGGGAGUCUGGUGGGAUCCACUGCCCACUCUUGUCUUUGGCAGGCAGCCGAGCCACAAGGGCACUCUACUGCCCACAGCAGCCUCGUAGCCGGCCACUGAACAGCUCAUAAAAGGAGGAGGGAUGCAAGGGUGGAAGACCAAAAAUCCCCUCCUGACAGGGAGGAAGGGUGGCAUGUGCAUGAAAUGUCCCUGAAUGCCCAUCUGCUCUGUCAUUGCUUAUUGUUGCACAGGGCUGUGGUGGCUCUGGUGUGCCCAGUUCUGCAGUGGUGGAAGCUGAUCAUCCUGAACAGUAACCAGAAAUGGAGGGUGUCUGGAGGAGACGAACACUCUUUUAAUGCCAUAUCCCUGCCUUCCUCUCUUUUGUUGCUGCUACUGCUUGUUUAUUGCUGACAGGUAAAUGCCAGUAGCUUCACUGUCAUGAAAGUCAUUUGUGUAAGGAGUGUAAUAAGAUGAAUGUGAGAUUUUACCCACCUGUAGUUUUGUUCCUCUUGAGAGGGAAAGAAAAAAAAAAAGAGUCUAGCCCUUAAAUCUUGCCCUUACUCACCUCUGGACAUCUUAUGUGUCAGAAACAGACUUGGAACUGUGAGCACCUGACCUAAGAAAAGAGCUCUUCCCUUUGCAGGAGCAUCAAGGAGCUGGAAGUAAAAAAAAUUUCACAUCCCCAGGACCUCUGCAUGGUGCUGAGGAGAAAAACCCUGCAAGAUCUGGAAGACAUUUGUAGGACAGAGCCUGUGUCGUUUACACUGGCUGAGUUGUCAUUGCUUUCCCCAGAGCUUGCUAAAUCAGGACGAGACUCGCUCAGUGCUCCCUCACUAGAUGAUAAUUAUAUUUGAAUAUUAAACAUCCACAUGGCUUACACAAGUUCCCUGAUUAACAAAGCACUUAGGUUGCAUGCAGCAGAAGAGACUUGAUUUCAGUUUGAUGAACAGGCACCUAAAUUUAGGUGUGUGCCCAUGGACCUGGCUGGAUGAGGGUUGUGUGAGCAGAAAGGCAAUUUUACCAGUUGCUGGGUUUUCAUGACAUGCUUGCAGGCAAAGCAAGUAAUCGCUUUUCUGUUUGAUGUGUAACUGGGCGGGGUGCCACUGGUU
Molecule: long non-coding RNA, 1417 nt
Filed under: Anser brachyrhynchus (Pink-footed goose)
Lineage: Eukaryota; Metazoa; Chordata; Aves; Anseriformes; Anatidae
Description: lncRNA (ENSABRG00000011976.1)
Source: RNAcentral